CCAAAUGUUGAAACAUCUGGCUAUAUUCUACCGCCCUUUCAGGGCA
Molecule: small RNA, 46 nt
Filed under: Candidatus Moduliflexus flocculans
Lineage: Bacteria; Candidatus Moduliflexota; Candidatus Moduliflexia; Candidatus Moduliflexales; Candidatus Moduliflexaceae
Description: Acido-Lenti-1 RNA
Rfam family: Acido-Lenti-1 RNA
Source: Rfam by way of RNAcentral